This is a long non-coding RNA of Eucalyptus grandis, 155 nucleotides long. RefSeq lists it as uncharacterized. The transcript has 3 exons. The record is from RefSeq and is a predicted model, not a curated record. NCBI's taxonomy places the organism in Eukaryota, Viridiplantae, Streptophyta, Magnoliopsida, Myrtales, Myrtaceae.
UGAUUAUUUUGGCCACGGGACAACAAUAGCGGUUCAUGCUGCUGAUAUAAUUGCUUUGUCAAAGGUUUUGCUAGUUUGCAACUGUGAUAUGCUUUUUUAAUAUGGCGACAAGAAGAAUGAGGGCAACAACUUCUAAAUCAAGUGGUGUAACUCCU